This 255-nucleotide ribosomal RNA is filed under the name uncultured bacterium. RNAcentral's name for it is "partial 16S ribosomal RNA". It matches the Rfam family "Bacterial small subunit ribosomal RNA", at positions 524 to 776 of the family's 1533-position model. The record is from RNAcentral.
UACGUAGGGUGCAAGCGUUAUCCGGAAUUAUUGGGCGUAAAGAGCUCGUAGGCGGUUUGUCGCGUCUGCUGUGAAAACUGGAGGCUCAACCUCCAGCCUGCAGUGGGUACGGGCAGACUAGAGUGCGGUAGGGGAGAUUGGAAUUCCUGGUGUAGCGGUGAAAUGCGCAGAUAUCGGGAGGAACACCGGUGGCGAAGGCGGGUCUCUGGGCGAGUAACUGACGCUGGAGGAGCGAAAGCGUGGGGAGCGAACAGG